Molecule: long non-coding RNA, 557 nt
Filed under: Homo sapiens (human)
Lineage: Eukaryota; Metazoa; Chordata; Mammalia; Primates; Hominidae
Description: HSALNT0397963
Source: RNAcentral
AGCAGUUCAUAUCCUCCACAGCUGAUCUCAGUCCCAGGGGCCCAUUGGCUGGGCAAGUGGGGCAGGAGGUGGGCAGGACUGGGGCAGGCUAGGGAAAGGUCAUUUAUGGCUGAUUAAAUCUUUCUCUCCUGUCUCAAUCUCUUGAUUACCUUUCCUCUUGCUUCCCCUACUUCAUUUUUGGUGGGGAGUGGGGAGGGAAGAAGUCCCUACUUUUUAUUUAUAUAUAUUUAAAUUUGUAUUAUCUUAAGAGUUAUUGUUUUUUCCCCUUUAUUUCUCCCACCUGUUCUUUCUCUCUUCUUCUUUCUUUCCUCUCCUUCUCCUCUCCUCUCCUCCCCUCUCCUUUUUCUUUUCUUUUCUUUUUCCCUUUCCUUUCCUUUCCUUUUCUCUUCUCUUUUCUCUCUCUCUUUCUUUCUGUACCUCUCUUUCCUUUUUCUUUUUUUUUCUUUUUUGAGACAGAGUUUCACUCUCUCGCCUAGGCUGGAGUGCAGCAGCAUGAUCUUGACUUACUGCAAUCUCUGCCUGCCGAGUUCAAGUGAUUCUCCUGCCUCAGCCUCCCA